Molecule: ribosomal RNA, 253 nt
Filed under: uncultured bacterium
Lineage: Bacteria
Description: partial 16S ribosomal RNA
Rfam family: Bacterial small subunit ribosomal RNA
Source: RNAcentral
GACGUAGGGCGCGAGCGUUGUCCGGAUUUAUUGGGCGUAAAGAGCUCGUAGGCGGCUUGUUGCGUCGACUGUGAAAACCCGCGGCUUAACCGCGGGCCUGCGGUUGAUACGGGCAGGCUAGAGUUCGGUAGGGGAGACUGGAAUUCCUGGUGUAGCGGUGAAAUGCGCAGAUAUCAGGAGGAACACCGGUGGCGAAGGCGGGUCUCUGGGCCGAUACUGACGCUGAGGAGCGAAAGCGUGGGGAGCGAACAGG